CCUACGGGAGGCAGCAGUGGGGAAUAUUGCACAAUGGGCGAAAGCCUGAUGCAGCAAAGCAGCGUGAGCGAUGAAGGCCUUCGGGGCGUAAAGCUCUGUCCUCAAGGAAGAUAAUGACGGUACUUGAGGAGGAAGCCCCGGCUAACUACGAGCAAGCAGCCGCGGUAAUACGGAGGGGGCUAGCGUUAUCCGGAAUUACUGGGCGUAAAGGGAGCGUAGGUGGUUUCUUAAGUCAGAGGUGAAAGGCUACGGCUCAACCGUAGUAAGCCUUUGAAACUGGGAAACUUGAGUGCAGGAGAGGAGAGUGGAAUUCCUGGUGUAGCGGUGAAAUGCGUAGAUAUUAGGAGGAACCCCAGUUGCGAAGGCGGCUCUCUGGACUGUAACUGACACUGAGGCACGAAAGCGUGGGGAGCAAACAGGAUUAGAUACCCGAGUAGUC
RNAcentral lists this ribosomal RNA (439 nucleotides) under uncultured bacterium. RNAcentral's name for it is "partial 16S ribosomal RNA". It matches the Rfam family "Bacterial small subunit ribosomal RNA", at positions 338 to 795 of the family's 1533-position model. The record is from RNAcentral.